UCCGUAGGUGAACCUGCGGAAGGAUCAUUACCGAGUUCUCGAGCUUCGGCUCGACUCUCCCACCCUUUGUGAACACACCUCUGUUGCUUUGGCGGCUCUCGCGGGCCGCCAGAGGACCUUAAAACUCCAGUCAGUAAACGUUGACGUCUGAUAAACAAGUUAAUAAACUAAAACUUUCAACAACGGAUCUCUUGGUUCUGGCAUCGAUGAAGAACGCAGCGAAAUGCGAUAAGUAAUGUGAAUUGCAGAAUUCAGUGAAUCAUCGAAUCUUUGAACGCACAUUGCGCCCCUUGGUAUUCCGGGGGGCAUGCCUGUUCGAGCGUCAUUACAACCCUCAAGCUCUGCUUGGUAUUGGGCUCCGUCCGCGCAAGCGGACGCGCCUCAAAGACCUCGGCGGUGGCUCUGGCCCUCAAGCGUAGUAGAAUACACCUCGCUUUGGAGCGGUUUGGAGUCGCCCGCCGGACGAACCUUCUGAACUUUUCUCAAGGUUGACCUCGGAUCAGGUAGGGAUACCCGCUGAACUUAAGCAUAUCAAUAAGCGGAGGA
Molecule: ribosomal RNA, 546 nt
Rfam family: 5.8S ribosomal RNA (bases 172-325)